Salmo salar (Atlantic salmon) is the source of this 54-nucleotide non-coding RNA. The record is from Rfam. NCBI's taxonomy places the organism in Eukaryota, Metazoa, Chordata, Actinopteri, Salmoniformes, Salmonidae.
UGCAUUCACUACUGUAAGUCGCUUUGGAUAAGAGCGUCUGCUAAAUGACUAAAA